AUUGAACGCUGGCGGCAGGCCUAACACAUGCAAGUCGGACGGUAGCACAGAGGAGCUUGCUCCUCGGGUGACGAGUGGCGGACGGGUGAGUAAUGUCUGGGGAUCUGCCCGAUAGAGGGGGAUAACCACUGGAAACGGUGGCUAAUACCGCAUAACGUCGCAAGACCAAAGAGGGGGACCUUCGGGCCUCUCACUAUCGGAUGAACCCAGAUGGGAUUAGCUAGUAGGCGGGGUAACAGCCCACCUAGGCGACGAUCCCUAGCCGGUCUGAGAGGAUGACCAGCCACACUGGAACUGAGACACGGUCCAGACUCCUACGGGAGGCAGCAGUGGGGAAUAUUGCACAAUGGGCGCAAGCCUGAUGCAGCCAUGCCGCGUGUAUGAAGAAGGCCUUCGGGUUGUAAAGUACUUUCAGCGGGGAGGAAGGCGAUAAGGUUAAUAACCUUGUCGAUUGACGUUACCCGCAGAAGAAGCACCGGCUGACUCCGUGCCAGCCGCCGCUGUAA
RNAcentral lists this ribosomal RNA (506 nucleotides) under uncultured bacterium. Its description in RNAcentral is "partial 16S ribosomal RNA". It matches the Rfam family "Bacterial small subunit ribosomal RNA", at positions 29 to 523 of the family's 1533-position model. The record is from RNAcentral.